GCUAGCGUAGCUUAACACAAAGCAUGACACUGAAGAUGUUAAGAUGGGUCCUAAAGAAACUCCGCAUGCA
Molecule: transfer RNA, 70 nt
Filed under: Parazacco spilurus
Lineage: Eukaryota; Metazoa; Chordata; Actinopteri; Cypriniformes; Xenocyprididae
Description: tRNA-Phe
Rfam family: tRNA
About the family: Transfer RNA (tRNA) molecules are approximately 80 nucleotides in length. Their secondary structure includes four short double-helical elements and three loops (D, anti-codon, and T loops). Further hydrogen bonds mediate the characteristic L-shaped molecular structure. tRNAs have two regions of fundamental functional importance: the anti-codon, which is responsible for specific mRNA codon recognition, and the 3' end, to which the tRNAs corresponding amino acid is attached (by aminoacyl-tRNA synthetases). tRNAs cope with the degeneracy of the genetic code in two manners: having more than one tRNA (with a specific anti-codon) for a particular amino acid; and 'wobble' base-pairing, i.e. permitting non-standard base-pairing at the 3rd anti-codon position.
Source: RNAcentral